Molecule: ribosomal RNA, 439 nt
Filed under: uncultured bacterium
Lineage: Bacteria
Description: partial 16S ribosomal RNA
Rfam family: Bacterial small subunit ribosomal RNA
Source: RNAcentral
CUACGGGCCGCUGCAGUGGGGAAUUUUGCGCAAUGGGGGAAACCCUGAUGCAGCAAUACCGCGUGAGUGAAGAAGGCCUUUGGGUCGUAAAGCUCUUUUCUUGGGGAAGAUAGUGACGGUACCCAAGGAAUAAGCACCGGCUAACUCCGUGCCAGCAGCCGCGGUAAUACGGAGGGUGCAAGCGUUGUUCGGAUUUACUGGGCGUAAAGGGCACGUAGGCGGCACAGCAAGUUAAGGGUGAAAUCCCGGGGCUCAACUCCGGAACUGCUCUUAAAACUGCUGAGCUAGAGAUAGUCAGAGGCGGGUGGAAUUCCAGGUGUAGAGGUGAAAUUCGUAGAUAUCAGGAGGAACACCGGUGGCGAAGGCGGCCCGCUGGGGCUAUUCUGACGCUAAGGUGCGAAAGCGUGGGGAGCAAACGGGAUUAGAUACCCGAGUAGUC